CAGGUGACCCCUAGGGGUUGAGGGUCUCAAUCCUACAACUGCAAGGAGCUGAAUUCGUACGACAACCAGUGCAUUGGGAAGAGGGACCCUGAGUCUAUGACGCGAGAGCUAUUGUGCGAGGUCAUAAAGAGCAUGUGGUCACCAGUUGACCUUCAGGCUGGUUAGCCGAUGGACACUCAUCACUCCCUCCCCCGUCCUUGGACGGUACAUUCUGCUUGCCUCCCCCAUUCCCAGAGGCUGCCCCAAAGAUACAGCCUUGAGAUAGCUUGUGUUGACAGCCUGUGGCUGGUAUGUGUGAUUGAACCCAGUUAAGGCCUCUAUAUAAAGCUUUGAGAUUUGGUGGGGGAGUGGGGAGAUCCGCUCGUCUCAGGGUGCCCCCUUGCUUAUUGGAACUGCCACCCACCAAUCUGGGGUGGUAUCCUUCUUUCUUCGCCCUCUCCGUGCCCUUCAAGUGUGGGGGCCAGAUUCAGAUGGCAUCCGAGGAGCUCCCAGCCCUGGCUGCCACCUUGAUUUCAGCCUAGUGAGACCCUGAGCAGGGGACCCAGCUAACCUGGACCUUGGUUCUCGACCUUUGGAAACUGCAAGGAUGUAGCCAGAAGACAGAAAGGGAGUCCUACACAUCAAAAGUGGAAGCGAAAACAUAGCAAUCAUGUCCUUUGAACAGACACCCUAAUCAUCUUUCCGAGGCUGCGUGCCGGGUUGCCACAGGGCAUGUGUGUUAAGAAUGACACCCUCUGCUGCUUCUGUUCCGGCAAGUCACAGCUUCAAAGCCCCUCCAUGUGCUCGUCAAGACCCAGUCUCACCAGGCAGAAGAAAGGACUCUUAAGGACUCCAGGAUGCUGUGCUCUAAGCUGGAGGCAGAGAGUCCUGCUGUCACAAAUGACAUGAAUGGCCCGUCCUGACUGACGUGUGGCCCCACCGAAUCCCCCACACAGCCCGUGAGACAAGUGGGUGUUUCCCUUACUUCACAGAUGAAGGAAAUGAACCUCACGAGGUUGUGAUCUCAUGGCUUCGUGGGUUUGAGCCCCAAGUCGGGCUCUGUGCUGACAGCAUGGAGCCUGCUUGGGAUUCUCUCUCUCCCCCUCUCUCUGCCCUCCCCCACUCAGACAGAGUCUCUGUCUCUCUCAAAAUGAAUAAAUAAACUUAAAAAAUUAAA
Long non-coding RNA from Acinonyx jubatus (cheetah), 1156 nucleotides. RefSeq lists it as uncharacterized. Lineage: Eukaryota; Metazoa; Chordata; Mammalia; Carnivora; Felidae. The record is from RefSeq and is a predicted model, not a curated record. The transcript is spliced from 4 exons.